Solanum verrucosum is the source of this 299-nucleotide long non-coding RNA. RefSeq lists it as uncharacterized. The record is from RefSeq and is a predicted model, not a curated record. The transcript has 2 exons. NCBI's taxonomy places the organism in Eukaryota, Viridiplantae, Streptophyta, Magnoliopsida, Solanales, Solanaceae.
GCCCUUUAAGCCCCUCUCUCUCUCCCUCCCCCAUCUCUCUCUCCCCCUCCAUCUCUCUCCUUCAAGAAUUCAUAGUCAGAUCACUGAAGAGGAUUUAUGUAAGCCCCAACAUGGGUUCUUUGUAUAUACACUUAUUGAGCAAAGCUGGUGCUGAAUUUUUCAUGGGUAAUAACUUACAGUUCAUACAGUGUAUCUGAAUCAGUUGUUUCAAGAUUUAAUUUUUAUGAUGUUUUUAUGUUUGGGGUUUGUUGGAUUGAGCUGAUUCAGUUGUUGGUAUGUUGGAUAAUGAUGAAUUGUGG